Molecule: long non-coding RNA, 622 nt
Organism: Notolabrus celidotus (New Zealand spotty)
Lineage: Eukaryota; Metazoa; Chordata; Actinopteri; Labriformes; Labridae
Exons: 4
Source: RefSeq, a predicted model, not a curated record
UGGAGAGUGGUUCAAUUGAAAAAGAGAAUACUGAGCUGCAUGGGCCAAAAUGGCAUUAUGUUGAGCCUUGUCCCAAACUUUGGUUAACACUUUAGUCUGGCAUUUUACAGAUCCCUAGGCCUGCUCUGUACAUAAUGCCCCACAGAGGGGUUUUUUCUACACUGAAAAUACACUUGGACUGCAGUUUUGACUUUGGCCUCAUUAUUGGACCAAAUCAACUAGGCCAUACUUACAAAUUCAACUUAAUGUCGUCUAUACCAUGAGGAAAGGCUUAUCUAUGUUCUCCUUAUGUGAACACGGUAAAUCCCUGUCUGCCUUCUCACCUAAACUAAAGAUAUCUCUGAUCGAAGUUGGCAAGCUGCGGUGACAUAUAGCCAAACAACUCCCAGGAUUGGGCAACUCCACAGCAUUCACAGAGACACCAGAGCAGAACAGAGGUCGUUACAUCACACAGUAUAACAGACGAGAAGUGAACAGAAGAGAGGGGCAGGGCCUUGUAAGGUCGUCCUGAUCAUCUGCUGAGAGUAAGGGCUGGGCCAAUUGUACUUGUCAGACACAUGUCUUGUCAAGCUUGCUUUCUCUUUCUACACAACUCGUCCACUCCCUCAAAGCACUCCACAUG